AGCUUUGCGCAGUGGCAGUAUCGUAGCCAAUGAGGUUUAUCCGAGGCGCAAUUAUUGCUAAUUAAAAGUAGUUAAAUAUGUUUUCAACUUACAAGAACAUUAUGUAGAGCUAAGGAUGUAGC
Molecule: small nuclear RNA, 122 nt
Organism: Heterocephalus glaber (naked mole-rat)
Lineage: Eukaryota; Metazoa; Chordata; Mammalia; Rodentia; Bathyergidae
Gene: U4
Rfam family: U4 spliceosomal RNA
About the family: U4 small nuclear RNA (U4 snRNA) is a component of the major U2-dependent spliceosome.
Source: Ensembl